Molecule: ribosomal RNA, 234 nt
Filed under: Lactobacillus delbrueckii subsp. bulgaricus
Lineage: Bacteria; Bacillati; Bacillota; Bacilli; Lactobacillales; Lactobacillaceae
Description: partial 23S ribosomal RNA
Rfam family: Bacterial large subunit ribosomal RNA
Source: RNAcentral
AAAGAAGGCCUAUCAGUAUCCUGAGUAGGGCGGGACACGUGAAAUCCCGUUUGAAUCCGCGAGGACCAUCUCGCAAGGCUAAAUACUAACCAGUGACCGAUAGUGAACCAGUACCGUGAGGGAAAGGUGAAAAGAACCCCGGGAGGGGAGUGAAAGAGAACCUGAAACCGUGUGCCUACAAGUAGUCAGAGCCCGUUAACGGGUAAUGGCGUGCCUUUUGUAGAAUGAACCGGC